Long non-coding RNA from Cyprinus carpio (common carp), 1661 nucleotides. NCBI's taxonomy places the organism in Eukaryota, Metazoa, Chordata, Actinopteri, Cypriniformes, Cyprinidae. The record is from Ensembl.
AUUUAGAAUGGCUGUGUGGUGGACUGUGGUGCUAACACCGUAAUGAAGAGUUCUUCACUACUGUUCAUAUAAACAGGAUAUUUCAGAAUUCUCAAAUUUAAUACGAAAUAUAUAGAAUGGUUCAUAUUUCAUACACCAGACAAAAUGAGUAUACGAUUUACCUUGAAGCACUCAGAAAUUGCUAGUCAGUUUCACAAAUAAUGCAAUAAAGUAAGAAAUCAUUUUGAAGUCAAAAGACUGAAAUAGUAUUUUCUUGCGAAAUGUACGCUAAAUUUUUUUGUUUUAUUUACAACUUAGAAAAUCCGUUAUUACAAUGCAGUCAUUCUAUUUUAAAAUGACCAUUUAAGAUAAAUGAAAAAUGACCAUUUGAUGUUUAAAUGACUAUUAAAUUGUCUUAAAUUAUCACUUAUGACACUCUUGUUCUCAUUGUCCUGUGUUAUGUUUUCUUAGCUGCUGGAUGGUUUGGAUGUUCUGAUGAGUAACGCGUUGACUCCACUUAAGCAGCAGUUCAUUGCUCAGAGUCUCACUGGAACCUUCCGGAAUCUCACUGUUGACGAGUUCAGGAGGUUAGUUAAUGCAAUGUUAUUUUACUCCAUUAAGAUGAAAUCAAUACAGUUUCUGGAAUUAUUUUAAUUUUUUUAUUUGGGACAUGGAAAUGUAAAAAGGAAAAAAAAAAUUAAAAAAAAAGUUUCCUCUCACACCCCUCCAGGUUAGGUAAUCUGUCCUGUCUGGCUCACCCCAGCCAGCUAAUGGCAUAUGCAGGAACGGAAGCCUUCUCUGUGAUCAAGGACAACAUUAGGACAUGUGCAAUUCAGGGUUUUAGUGUUCCUAGCAAUAUGAUAUCCAGCAUGGUCUUGAAAUCGUCUGACCUGCAGUCUCCCUCCAGUCUCACUCCUCAGAGAGUCUCUGAGCUUGGCCCUUUUCUUCCCCUUCUGGGAUCCAGUGUCCUACAGCAGCUUACCUCAGCCCAGCUCAUGCCUGCUCUCAGCACCCUCGCCUCUGUGCCUUUUACCCCUGCACAGGUACACACCAUUUUUGCCACAUCUGCAUACAUUUGCCACACAAGGCAAAUAAUUGAGCAAAAAUUACAGGCCAUAAAUAUUUCUUACCAAUCAUGAUACAAUUUUGCAUUAUUUGUUUUAAAAAUAGGGUGGCCAUAUGUGCUGUUCAUAUGGGACAUGUCCCAGCCAGGAUUUUAAUAUUGCCUAAAAUAUCCAGGUUUUGGCUGUUUGCACUGUGCAGGUCUAUCGUUGUGUGACAUUCAUGAGAGCUGUAGAGAACAGAGCAGACAGCUCCUUAUGCUUUCAAAUCGCUCUCGCACCUACUUUGGUGUCUUUGAUCGUUCCCUGUAGAUCUCACCUUCUCACGCGCAGCCCCACGAUUGGUUGAUUAUGUACCUGCAUGUUAUUGGUCAAACUGCUUUGGAUGUUUUAGGCUAUUUUAAAAUCCUGGCCAGGUUGUGUCCCAUAUGAACGGCGCAUAUGGCCACCCUAUUUAAAAAUGUAUAUCUGUUCCUAUGACAAUGAGACUUUCCCUAGGAUUUUAUGACAAACAUCACAGACAGAUCAGGCAUAGGCAAGUGUCAGUCGUAGGCAAGGCAAUUUAUUUAUAUAGCAAUAAGAAAUAAUAAAAAAUACAAUAAAAAAAAGUAAAAAGAAAAU